GCACUGGUGGUGAGCGGGGACUUCAAUUCCGGGCUCGG
This 38-nucleotide transfer RNA is filed under the name Corethron pennatum. RNAcentral describes it as "partial Selenocysteine transfer RNA". Lineage: Eukaryota; Bacillariophyta; Corethrophyceae; Corethrales; Corethraceae. The record is from RNAcentral.